GACGAACGCUGGCGGCGGGCUUAACACAUGCAAGUCGAACGGAAAGGCCCUGCUUUUGUGGGGUGCUCGAGUGGCGAACGGGUGAGUAACACGUGAGUAACCUUCCCUUGACUUUGGGAUAACUUCAGGAAACUGGGGCUAAUACCGGAUAGGAGCUCCUGCUGCAGGGGGGGGGUUGGAAAGUUUAGGCGGUUGGGGAUGGACGCGCGGCUUAUCAGCUGGUGGGGGGGGUAGUUGCUUACCAAGGGUUCGACGGGUAGCCGGCAUGAGAGGGUGACCGGCCACAAUGGGACUGAGAUACGGCCCAGACUCCUACGGGAGGCAGCAGUGGGGAAUAUUGCCCAAUGGGCGGAAGCCUGAUGCAGCAACGCCGCGUGCGGGAUGACGGCCUUCUGGUUGUAAACCGCUUUCGCCUGUGACGAAGCGUGAGUGACGGUAAUGGGUAAAGAAGCACCGGCUAACUACGUG
Molecule: ribosomal RNA, 468 nt
Filed under: uncultured bacterium
Lineage: Bacteria
Description: partial 16S ribosomal RNA
Rfam family: Bacterial small subunit ribosomal RNA
Source: RNAcentral